GCGACUGAUCCGUAACUGGUCUGAGAGGAUGAUCAGUCACACUGGAACUGAGACACGGUCCAGACUCCUACGGGAGGCAGCAGUGGGGAAUAUUGGACAAUGGGCGAAAGCCUGAUCCAGCCAUGCCGCGUGUGUGAAGAAGGUCUUCGGAUUGUAAAGCACUUUAAGUUGGGAGGAAGGGCAGUAAAUUAAUACUUUGCUGUUUUGACGUUACCGACAGAAUAAGCACCGGCUAACUCUGUGCCAGCAGCCGCGGUAAUACAGAGGGUGCAAGCGUUAAUCGGAAUUCUUGGGCGUAAAGCGCGCGUAGGUGGUUUGUUAAGUUU
This 326-nucleotide ribosomal RNA is filed under the name uncultured bacterium. Its description in RNAcentral is "bacterial SSU rRNA". It matches the Rfam family "Bacterial small subunit ribosomal RNA", at positions 272 to 590 of the family's 1533-position model. The record is from RNAcentral.